Molecule: ribosomal RNA, 483 nt
Filed under: uncultured bacterium
Lineage: Bacteria
Description: partial 16S ribosomal RNA
Rfam family: Bacterial small subunit ribosomal RNA
Source: RNAcentral
GACGAACGCUGGCGGCGUGCUUAACACAUGCAAGUCGAACGCUGAAGCUCAGCUUUUGUUGGGUGGAUGAGUGGCGAACGGGUGAGUAACACGUGAGUAACCUGCCCCCUUCUUUGGGAUAACGCCCGGAAACGGGUGCUAAUACUGGAUAUUCACUGGUCUUCGCAUGGGGGGUGGUGGAAAGGGUUUUUCUGGUGGGGGAUGGGCUCGCGGCCUAUCAGCUUGUUGGUGGGGUGAUGGCCUACCAAGGCUUUGACGGGUAGCCGGCCGGAGAGGGUGACUGGUCACGUGGGCACUGAGAUCCGGCCCAGACUACGACGGGAGGCAGUAGGGGGGAAUAUUGCGCGAUGUGCGCAAGCCUGAGGCGGCGCCGCCGCGUGAGGGGUGGCGGCCGUCGGGUUGUGAACCUCUUUCGCUCAUGGUCAAGCCGCAACAAUGGUUGUGGUGAGGGUAGUGGGUAAAGAAGCGCCGGCUAACUACGUG